RNAcentral lists this ribosomal RNA (492 nucleotides) under Staphylococcus pseudintermedius. RNAcentral's name for it is "bacterial SSU rRNA". It matches the Rfam family "Bacterial small subunit ribosomal RNA", at positions 1 to 475 of the family's 1533-position model. The record is from RNAcentral. Lineage: Bacteria; Bacillati; Bacillota; Bacilli; Caryophanales; Staphylococcaceae.
UUUAUGGAGAGUUUGAUCCUGGCUCAGGAUGAACGCUGGCGGCGUGCCUAAUACAUGCAAGUCGAGCGAACAGAUAAGGAGCUUGCUCCUUUGACGUUAGCGGCGGACGGGUGAGUAACACGUGGGUAACCUACCUAUAAGACUGGAAUAACUCCGGGAAACCGGGGCUAAUGCCGGAUAACAUGUUGAACCGCAUGGUUCUACAGUGAAAGACGGUCUUGCUGUCACUUAUAGAUGGACCCGCGCCGUAUUAGCUAGUUGGUGGGGUAACGGCCUACCAAGGCGACGAUACGUAGCCGACCUGAGAGGGUGAUCGGCCACACUGGAACUGAGACACGGUCCAGACUCCUACGGGAGGCAGCAGUAGGGAAUCUUCCGCAAUGGGCGAAAGCCUGACGGAGCAACGCCGCGUGAGUGAUGAAGGUCUUCGGAUCGUAAAGCUCUGUUGUUAGGGAAGAACAAAUGUGUAAGUAACUGUGCACAUCUUGACGG